UACGUAGGGGGCAAGCGUUGUCCGGAUUAUUGGGCGUAAAAGGCUUGUAGGUGGCCACGCCAAGUCGGAUGUGAAAUCUCCCGGCUCAACUGGGAGGGGUCAUUCGAUACUGGUGGGCUCGAGGCCGGUAGGGGGAAGCGGAAUUCCCGGUGUAGUGGUGGAAUGCGUAGAUAUCGGGAGGAACACCAGUGGCGAAGGCGGCUUCCUGGACCGGUUCUGACACUGAGGAGCGAAAGCGUGGGGAGCGAUCCGG
Molecule: ribosomal RNA, 253 nt
Filed under: uncultured bacterium
Lineage: Bacteria
Description: partial 16S ribosomal RNA
Rfam family: Bacterial small subunit ribosomal RNA
Source: RNAcentral